GAAAUGGGAGAUGAAUAUUUCGAAAGCAAUAGGAAUGGAUGGUUAGGAGAGAACUCCUCUUAUAUAUUUCUUCAUCUUCUCCGCCGGAGAUGUGGAAGUGCAGUUGGUUCCUAUACCACCCAUUCCCUACGGUUUUCGAAAUUUUCUCCCUUUUC
Vitis vinifera (wine grape) is the source of this 155-nucleotide non-coding RNA. The record is from RefSeq and is marked provisional. NCBI's taxonomy places the organism in Eukaryota, Viridiplantae, Streptophyta, Magnoliopsida, Vitales, Vitaceae.